This 374-nucleotide ribosomal RNA is filed under the name uncultured organism. RNAcentral describes it as "partial 16S ribosomal RNA". It matches the Rfam family "Bacterial small subunit ribosomal RNA", at positions 527 to 896 of the family's 1533-position model. The record is from RNAcentral.
GAGAGGUGCAAACGUUAUUCGGAAUCAUUGGGCGUAAAGGGUGCGUAGGCGGGUUGUUAAGUUUGUCGUUAAAGACCUCGGGCCUAACCGAGGGAACAGCGAUGAAAACUGGCAGACUAGAGUAUGGAAGAGAGAAGUGGAAUUCUCGGAGUAGCGGUAAAAUGCGUAGAUCUCGAGAGGAACACCGAUGGCGAAGGCAGCUUCUUGGUCCAUUACUGACGCUGAGGCACGAAAGCGUGGGGAGCAAACAGGAUUAGAUACCCUGGUAGUCCACGCCGUAAACGAUGAUCACUAGAUGUCAGCCCCGUUUUUAGGGAUUGGUGUCGUAGCUAACGCGUUAAGUGAUCCGCCUGGGGAGUACGGUCGCAAGAUUA